Molecule: long non-coding RNA, 276 nt
Filed under: Ananas comosus (pineapple)
Lineage: Eukaryota; Viridiplantae; Streptophyta; Magnoliopsida; Poales; Bromeliaceae
Description: long non-coding RNA (ACOM_LNC001780)
Source: RNAcentral
AUAAGAGACUUAGACACUAGUAAUAAUAACUGGGCUUAAGCAUUUUGGGCUGGUGGUUUGGGCCCAACGAGUUAUUGUUGCUAGUGGGCUGGGUCGUUACAUUUGGUAUCAGAGCCAAUUACCAGCCGGAAGUGUGAGAUGAGUCUCGGCUGAGCCAGGGUCUGGAUGACGAGCUAGCGAGAUGAGUCUCACAUCGCCUGGUACUUGUGAGUCUGAGCCUGACGAGGACGUCAGGGCUUAAAGGAGGGGAUAUUGUGAGACCCCAGAUAGUCCUAU